AUCUAGCCGACGAAUCCCGAAUAGGACGAAACGUGCGUCCCGAAU
This 45-nucleotide non-coding RNA is filed under the name Schistosoma mansoni. Lineage: Eukaryota; Metazoa; Platyhelminthes; Trematoda; Strigeidida; Schistosomatidae. The record is from RNAcentral.